Molecule: ribosomal RNA, 650 nt
Filed under: uncultured Microbacteriaceae bacterium
Lineage: Bacteria; Bacillati; Actinomycetota; Actinomycetes; Micrococcales; Microbacteriaceae
Description: bacterial SSU rRNA
Rfam family: Bacterial small subunit ribosomal RNA
Source: RNAcentral
GUGGCGAACGGGUGAGUAACACGUGAGUAACCUGCCCUUGACUCUGGGAUAAGCACUGGAAACGGUGUCUAAUACCGGAUACGAGCUUCAGUCGCAUGACUAGGAGCUGGAAAGAAUUUCGGUCAAGGAUGGACUCGCGGCCUAUCAGCUAGUUGGUGAGGUAAUGGCCCACCAAGGCGACGACGGGUAGCCGGCCUGAGAGGGUGACCGGCCACACUGGGACUGAGACACGGCCCAGACUCCUACGGGAGGCAGCAGUGGGGAAUAUUGCACAAUGGGCGCAAGCCUGAUGCAGCAACGCCGCGUGAGGGACGACGGCCUUCGGGUUGUAAACCUCUUUUAGUAGGGAAGAAGCGAAAGUGACGGUACCUGCAGAAAAAGCACCGGCUAACUACGUGCCAGCAGCCGCGGUAAUACGUAGGGUGCAAGCGUUAUCCGGAAUUAUUGGGCGUAAAGAGCUCGUAGGCGGUUUGUCACGUCUGCUGUGAAAACUGGAGGCUUAACCUCCAGCCUGCAGUGGGUACGGGCAGACUAGAGUGCGGUAGGGGAGAUUGGAAUUCCUGGUGUAGCGGUGGAAUGCGCAGAUAUCAGGAGGAACACCGAUGGCGAAGGCAGAUCUCUGGGCCGUAACUGACGCUGAGGAGCGAAAG